GCACACCCCGCCCCCCCGCCCACCCUGCCGCCUGCCACCAAAGAAGUGUGUCGAGCCGCUAAAGCAGAUCUGGUGUUUCUGGUGGACGGAUCGUGGAGUAUCGGAGACGACAACUUCCAGAAGAUCAUCCGCUUCCUAUACAGCACAGCCGGAGCGCUGGACCGGAUCGGUCCGGAUGGGACUCAAGUGGCCAUCGCUCAGUUCAGUGACGACGCUCGCACCGAGUUCAGGCUCAGCUCGUACGAUAAUAAAGAAAA
This is a long non-coding RNA of Cyprinus carpio (common carp), 257 nucleotides long. RefSeq lists it as uncharacterized. The transcript has 3 exons. The record is from RefSeq and is a predicted model, not a curated record. NCBI's taxonomy places the organism in Eukaryota, Metazoa, Chordata, Actinopteri, Cypriniformes, Cyprinidae.